This 465-nucleotide ribosomal RNA is filed under the name uncultured Klebsiella sp. RNAcentral describes it as "bacterial SSU rRNA". It matches the Rfam family "Bacterial small subunit ribosomal RNA", at positions 338 to 795 of the family's 1533-position model. The record is from RNAcentral. Lineage: Bacteria; Pseudomonadati; Pseudomonadota; Gammaproteobacteria; Enterobacterales; Enterobacteriaceae.
CCUACGGGUGGCUGCAGUGGGGAAUAUUGCACAAUGGGCGCAAGCCUGAUGCAGCCAUGCCGCGUGUGUGAAGAAGGCCUUCGGGUUGUAAAGCACUUUCAGCGGGGAGGAAGGCGUUAAGGUUAAUAACCUUGUCGAUUGACGUUACCCGCAGAAGAAGCACCGGCUAACUCCGUGCCAGCAGCCGCGGUAAUACGGAGGGUGCAAGCGUUAAUCGGAAUUACUGGGCGUAAAGCGCACGCAGGAGGUCUGUCAAGUCGGAUGUGAAAUCCCCGGGCGCAACCUGGGAACUGCAUUCGAAACUGGCAGGCUAGAGUCUUGUAGAGGGGGGUAGAAUUCCAGGUGUAGCGGUGAAAUGCGUAGAGAUCUGGAGGAAUACCGGUGGCGAAGGCGGCCCCCUGGACAAAGACUGACGCUCAGGUGCGAAAGCGUGGGGAGCAAACAGGAUUAGAUACCCGUGUAGUC